UCGAACGCGGGGCUUCGGCCCCGAGUGGCGCACGGGUGAGUAGCGCGUGGGAACCUGCCCUGGAGUGGGGGAUAACCGAGGGAAACUUCGGCUAAUACCGCAUGCGCCCGGAGCAAUCCGGGGAAAGAUUUAUCGCUCUAGGAGGGGCCCGCGUCGGAUUAGCUAGUUGGUGGGGUAACGGCCUACCAAGGCGAUGAUCCGUAGCUGGUCUGAGAGGAUGAUCAGCCACACUGGGACUGAGACACGGCCCAGACUCCUACGGGAGGCAGCAGUGGGGAAUAUUGGACAAUGGGCGAAAGCCUGAUCCAGCAAUGCCGCGUGAGUGAGGAAGGCCUUAGGGUUGUAAAGCUCUUUCGGCGGGGACGAUGAUGACGGUACCCGCAGAAGAAGCCCCGGCUAACUUCGUGCCAGCAGCCGCGGUAAUACGAAGGGGGCGAGCGUUGUUCGGAUUUACUGGGCGUAAAGGGCGCGCAGGCGGUCCUGUUUGUCGAGUGUGAAAGCCCCGGGCUCAACCUGGGAACUGCGCUCGAAACGGCGGGACUAGAGUUCGGGAGAGGAGAGUGGAAUUCCCAGUGUAGAGGUGAAAUUCGUAGAUAUUGGGAAGAACACCGGUGGCGAAGGCGGCUCUCUGGACCGAUACUGACGCUGAGGCGCGAAAGCGUGGGGAGCAAACAGGAUUAGAUACCCUGGUAGUCCACGCUGUAAACGAUGUGUGCUAGACGUUG
This 725-nucleotide ribosomal RNA is filed under the name uncultured bacterium. Its description in RNAcentral is "bacterial SSU rRNA". It matches the Rfam family "Bacterial small subunit ribosomal RNA", at positions 62 to 825 of the family's 1533-position model. The record is from RNAcentral.